Molecule: ribosomal RNA, 460 nt
Filed under: uncultured bacterium
Lineage: Bacteria
Description: partial 16S ribosomal RNA
Rfam family: Bacterial small subunit ribosomal RNA
Source: RNAcentral
CCUACGGAUGGCAGCAGUGAGGAAUAUUGGUCAAUGGACGGAAGUCUGAACCAGCCAAGUCGCGUGAAGGAUGAAUGCCCUACGGAUUGUAAACUUCUUUUGUAAAGGAAUAAAGUGAGGCACGUGAGCCUUUUUGUAUGUACUUUAUGAAUAAGGAUCGGCUAACUCCGUGCCAGCAGCCGCGGUAAUACGGAGGAUCCGGGCGUUAUCCGGAUUUAUUGGGUUUAAAGGGUGCGUAGAUGGGGUGUUAAGUCCGGUGUGAAAGUUUGCGGCUCAACCGUGCAAUUGCAAUUGAGACUGGCAGGCUGGAGUACAGGAGAGGUAGGCGGAAUUCGUGGUGUAGCGGUGAAAUGCUUAGAUAUUACGAAGAACUCCGAUUGCGAAGGCAGCUUACUAAACUGCAACUGACACUGAUGCUCGAAAGCGUGGGUAUCAAACAGGAUUAGAUACCCUAGUAGUC